AUUAUCUAUGCUCGUGCCUACACUUAUGAGCAUCAGUACAACCUCCUCCUUGGCUUAGCUGCUAAAAUGUCUGAAGAACCGGUGUGAUGUUACUGACAUUGAACAGAGUUAUCUUCAGUUGCAAUAUUAUGGGAUAUGGAGAGUUAACAGAAUUGACUUAUGGCAGAUUGUAGAUUCAAUGAUUGCUUUGUAUAGGGUGGACUUUUCAGGAAGAGGAGAGCUUGCAGCGCCAGCCAAAACUGGCACAAAUGCUUUCUUGAUUGAUAAAGAUAGCUGCAGAAUUCAAUGUUGCAGUUUACAUGACAAAUCAAGAGGUCUGCCUUCAAAUAUAUGCAAAUUGUUCUGGAUGGUUUCACCAUAAACUGCUGAAGCAGAUGAAAUAUCCUCCAUUCUCAUGUCUAUUUUCAGGUGUUGACUACAAGAUCAAGGUUUGGAACUACAAGCUGCACAGUUACUAAGUAGAAUAUAAUUUCAAGCUCAUAGUGAAUACUAGAAUCAAGGUACAAAGCUGACUCGGCGCACCUACGAUCAUUCAGCGACACCCCAAUCAUUGCCACCCGUGGCCUCCCUCCUCUCCACGGCACAACGACGAUUCAGUACCUUCCCCACGGCGUUUGUUCCCUGAUUUUCAUCUUCACAAGCGGCUGUCUUCCCUUAUGAUCACCCUCUCUGCCAUUAUGCCCUCAUCUCAGGUAUCUUCAAGCAGUAUUUUUCAUUUUUCAAAUUUUUUAAUGUGAUUGAUUAGUUGCCUGAUUAGUUUGAGUUAAUAAUUUGAUUAGUUGUCUCAAAUUUCUCCUUUCCAUAAUUACAGUAACUUGACAAAUAGCUCAGAAACCUUAACACUGAUUCAGUAACAUCUACAGUUAGUGGAUCCAUGUUCUACAUGUUUUCCCCCUUUUAACUCUUGCCAAAUUGGUGCUAUAUAAAUAAUGUGCAACAGGAAUUUGAGAUAAUGUGCCACAGUGAAUUUAGGGAAUGGAGGCUACUCUUAAUGAAUAUCCUUGACAAGCUUCUUUUUAGCAUACGGCUCAAACUGAUUAGACUUCUCAAAUUAAGCUUCUUUUUCUUCAUUCAUUUUGAUGGUGUUAAGAGUCCGGAAUAAAAGGAUGCUAUCCACAAAUUUUUUGGUUGUGAUUUCGUAUUUUCUUUGACAAAUAAUUCAAGUAGUUUGGCAGAAGAUGAGUAUUAAUCCACGAUUGAAGUUCAAUUCAAUCUCUUCAAUUUAUUGAAAUUUUUAUGUUGGUUAUUGAGUUGAUUUUCACUGUGCAAUUGUUACUCAGUGAUUCAUUCUUUUGAGUAUAUAGAUCCAUUGUAAGGGACUGGUCUAUCUCUCACCCUUUUGCAUAUGUUGUUGUAUACUAUUGCUUAUUAGUUAUUUUUUCUCUUGAGGCUUUUAUGAAAUGGAUGAUGGAAAUGUUUUAUCUUUGUGAGAGAGUAGAGGGGUGAAAGUUUUAUUAAUUAGCAUCUUCUGUUUCUCUUUAAUUGUUUUGAGGAUUUGUUUAAUUAGUUACAUAUAUUAAAAAUUCUUCUUUAUUCAAAAUUCCAUUGCAUUAUGACCUCCAGAUAAGAUGUCGGCUAUCAUUUCCAUUAUUGUAACUUCAUGCAGAAUAAGAAAUCAAACCCAGGGACCAAAUUAGGACAUUUGAAACAUGGUAGGAGCUAAAGGGAAGAUUAUUAUCUCAUAAGGGAGAAUUCUUAACAUAAUCUGAACCUUCUCUUCUUGCAUGUUACAUAUGGCCGAAAAAUCAUUGUUGUGUUUGUGUGACUGAAUUCUUAUUUCAUUAUCUUCCCCUCAGCAAGCUAAAUACAGAAAAAGCAAUGUACUAUGCUUUUAUGCUCUGAUUAUUUUACUCUGCAUUUUCAUCUUUUGGCAUGCACUAUUGGAAAUAGUAUUUCAUUGUAGUUUGCAGAAGAUAACUGAUGUCAACCUCCAGGAAAUUGGUUUGGUGGAUUUCAUCGUGUUGCGUUGGAAGCAAUCUUUUUAAAUAAAGGCUUUGGAUUUCACCUUUGAAAUCUCCAUCUCCAAGUUUGCCUUCUGUGAGUAUUUGAUGUGUUUAGUUUAAUUAAGAGUAUAGCUAAACUCAGGGUUUGAAGAUAUAAAAACUCAAACUCCUUUUGGAUUGAGAACUAUGGAACUUGCAAUGACAGUGUUUGAAGAUAUCUCAACAACUCAAACUCAUGUAUGGUCACUCAAUAGUUUAAUUCAAUAACAGUAAAGGAAGUCGAAGAAAGAAGAAAACCAAAUUUGGUGCUAUAGUUCCACUGUGAAAGAACUACUUUGGUUCUUUCUGGUAACUUCACACACACUCACUGUGCCUCUUUUGAUUCUCUCCCCUGUCACCCAGCAAUUGAGACUCCUACACAUUACAAGCAAUUAAUUAAUAUACAUUGCCAUAGUAUAUAUUUUUAACUUUUUAUAUUUUUGAGUGUCGUAUGUGCACAGUCUAUUUGUGCCAAAAAUCCAAUAACUGAUUAUACAAUGAUUUCCAAAUACUUAACUCAGGAAGUUCUAUUGUUAGGAAGUUACUCUA
Molecule: long non-coding RNA, 2531 nt
Organism: Lotus japonicus
Lineage: Eukaryota; Viridiplantae; Streptophyta; Magnoliopsida; Fabales; Fabaceae
Exons: 5
Source: RefSeq, a predicted model, not a curated record